This 433-nucleotide ribosomal RNA is filed under the name uncultured bacterium. Its description in RNAcentral is "partial 16S ribosomal RNA". It matches the Rfam family "Bacterial small subunit ribosomal RNA", at positions 29 to 507 of the family's 1533-position model. The record is from RNAcentral.
AACGAACGCUGGCGGCAUGCCUAACGCAUGCAAGUCGAACGAGACCUUCGGGUCUAGUGGCGCACGGGUGCGUAACGCGUGGGAACCUGCCCUUAGGUUCGGAAUAACUCCCCGAAAGGGGUGCUAAUACCGGAUAAUGUCUUCGGACCAAAGAUUUAUCGCCUUUGGAUGGGCCCGCGUUGGAUUAGCUAGUUGGUAGGGUAAAAGGCUACCAAGGCGACGAUCCAUAGCUGGUCUGAGAGGAUGAUCAGCCACACUGGGACUGAGACACGGCCCAGACUCCUACGGGAGGCAGCAGUGGGGAAUAUUGGACAAUGGGCGAAAGCCUGAUCCAGCAAUGCCGCGUGAGUGAUGAAGGCCUUAGGGUUGUAAAGCUCUUUUACCCGGGAUGAUAAUGACAGUACCGGGAGAAUAAGCUCCGGCUAACUCCGUG